This 252-nucleotide ribosomal RNA is filed under the name uncultured bacterium. RNAcentral describes it as "partial 16S ribosomal RNA". It matches the Rfam family "Bacterial small subunit ribosomal RNA", at positions 524 to 776 of the family's 1533-position model. The record is from RNAcentral.
UACGUAGGGGGCAAGCGUUGUCCGGAAUUAUUGGGCGUAAAGAGUACGUAGGCGGUUUAUUAAGCGCAAGGUGAAAGGCAGUGGCUUAACCAUUGUAAGCCUUGCGAACUGGUAGACUUGAGUGCAGGAGAGGAAAGCGGAAUUCCUAGUGUAGCGGUGAAAUGCGUAGAUAUUAGGAGGAACACCGGUGGCGAAGGCGGCUUUCUGGACUGUAACUGACGCUGAGGUACGAAAGCGUGGGGAGCAAACAGG